UACGUAGGGUGCGAGCGUUAAUCGGAAUUACUGGGCGUAAAGCGUGCGCAGGCGGCUUUGCAAGACAGAUGUGAAAUCCCCGGGCUCAACCUGGGAACUGCAUUUGUGACUGCAAGGCUAGAGUACGGCAGAGGGGGAUGGAAUUCCGCGUGUAGCAGUGAAAUGCGUAGAUAUGCGGAGGAACACCAAUGGCGAAGGCAAUCCCCUGGGCCUGGACUGACGCUCAUGCACGAAAGCGUGGGGAGCAAACAGG
Molecule: ribosomal RNA, 253 nt
Filed under: uncultured bacterium
Lineage: Bacteria
Description: partial 16S ribosomal RNA
Rfam family: Bacterial small subunit ribosomal RNA
Source: RNAcentral